RNAcentral lists this ribosomal RNA (319 nucleotides) under uncultured bacterium. RNAcentral describes it as "bacterial SSU rRNA". It matches the Rfam family "Bacterial small subunit ribosomal RNA", at positions 28 to 326 of the family's 1533-position model. The record is from RNAcentral.
GACGAACGCUGGCGGCGUGCUUAACACAUGCAAGUCGAACGAGAAUCUAUGGAAAGAGGAUUCGUCCAAUUGAAAUAGAGGACAGUGGCGGACGGGUGAGUAACGCGUGAGGAACCUGCCUUUCAGGAGGGGGACAACAGUUGGAAACGACUGCUAAUACCGCAUAACGCAUAGAGGUCGCAUGGUCUUUAUGACCAAAGUAUUUAUCGCUAGAAAGAUGGCCUCGCGUCUGAUUAGCUAGUUGGUGAGGUAACGGCCCACCAAGGCGACGAUCAGUAGCCGGACUGAGAGGUUGAACGGCCACAUUGGGACUGAGAUA